This 1441-nucleotide ribosomal RNA is filed under the name Heterosigma akashiwo. RNAcentral's name for it is "partial Bacterial large subunit ribosomal RNA". It matches the Rfam family "Bacterial large subunit ribosomal RNA", at positions 516 to 1816 of the family's 2925-position model. The record is from RNAcentral. Lineage: Eukaryota; Raphidophyceae; Chattonellales; Chattonellaceae.
GAAAAGCACCCCGGGAGGGGAGUGAAAUAGAACCUGAAACCGUGUGCCUACAACAAGUUCGAGCCCGUUAAUGGGUGAGAGCGUGCCUUUUGUAGAAUGAACCGGCGAGUUACGUUAUGAUGCGAGGUUAAGUUGAAGAGACGGAGCCGUAGGGAAACCGAGUCUGAAUAGGGCGAUUAGUUGCAUGUCGUAGACCCGAAACGGGAUGAGCUUACCAUGGGCAGGUUGAAGCGAGGGUAAAACCUCGUGGAGGACCGAACCCGUUAAGGUUGAAAACUUUUGGGAUGACCUGUGGUAAGGGGUGAAAGGCCAAUCAAAUUCCGUGAUAGCUGGUUCUCUCCGAAAUGCAUUUAGGUGCAGCGUCUAAUGAAUACCGUCGGGGGUAUAGCACUGAAUUGGCUAGGGGGCUUACCGGCUUACCAAACCAUAUCAAACUCAGAAUACCGACGAGUACUGUUAGGCAGUGAGACUGCGGAUGCUAAGGUCCGUAGUCGAAAGGGAAAGAGCCCAGACCAUCAGCUAAGGUCCCUAAAUCGUGUCUAAGUGGCGAAGGUUGUGGAACUACUUUGACAUCCAGGAGGUUGGCUUAGAAGCAGCCAUCCUUGAAAGAGUGCGUAAUAGCUCACUGGUCAAGUGAUUCCGCGCCGACAAUGUAACGGGGCUCAAGCACACCACCGAAGUUGUAGAUUUCGCACUAUAGACAAGCCUUCGUGGUUCAGUCGUGCGGAGUGGUAGGAGAGCGUCGUGUGGCGAGUGAAGCGGCGGAGUGAUCCAGCCGUGGACGCUACACGAGUGAGAAUGCAGGCAUGAGUAGCGAAAGACGGGUGAGAAACCCGUCCUCCGAAAGACCAAGGGUUCCAGGGUCAAGCUAAUCUGCCCUGGGUAAGUCGGGACCUAAGGCGAGGCCGACAGGCGUAGUCGAUGGACAACGGGUUGAUAUUCCCGUACCGGCGAAGAACCGCCCAAGUCAAUCCAGUAAUGCUAAGCACCUGAAUACCACGGGUUCUCCUUCGGGAGUCUCCGUGGGGCUAGCGUGCGACCCUAUGCUGGUGCGGCUAACGUAUUAACAGGUGUGACGCAGGAAGGUAGCUGAGCCAGGCGAUGGUAUCCGUAAGGUGAACCUGGUGUAAGGAUGUAGGGCUGACGAUAGGCAAAUCCGUCGUCUGUGUGCCUGAGAUCCGACGCGUACCCGUAAGGGGAAAUCAGUGAUCCUAUGCUGCCGAGAAAAGCAUCGACGCGAGGUUGCAGCCGCCCGUACCCGAAACCGACUCAGGUGGUCAGGUAGAGAAUACCAAGGAGAUCGAGAGAAUCGUGGUUAAGGAACUCGGCAAAAUGCCCCCGUAACUUCGGGAGAAGGGGGGCCCAGCGCGUAUUAGAACUUGCUUCGAAAGCGUGUGUGGGCCGCAGAGACCAGUGGGUAGCGACUGUUUAUUAAAAACAC